UGAUGACGAGACGCUAAGGCGUUGAAGCAGUGUAUGUCAGACUUCCAAGAAAAGGCCCGAACCACGUUAAUCUCUAAUUACCUGUACCCGAAACCGACACAGGUGGGUAGGUAGAGUAUACUAAGGGGCGCGAGAUAACUCUCUCUAAGGAACUCGGCAAAAUGACUCCGUAACUUCGGGAGAAGGAGUGCCUUAUUUAUAAGGUUGCAAUAACAAGAUCCAAGCAACUGUUUAUCAAAAACACAGGUCUCCGCUAAGUCGUAAGACGAUGUAUGGGGGCUGACGCCUGCCCAGUGCCAGAAGGUUGAAGAAGUUGGUUAGUGUAUGCGAAGCUGAUGACUGAAGCCCUGGUGAACGGCGGCCGUAACAAUAACGGUCCUAAGGUAGCGAAAUUCCUUGUCGGGUAAGUUCCGACCCGCACGAAAGGCGUAAUGAUUUGGAUACUGUCUCGGAGAGAGGCUCGGUGAAAUAGACUUGUCUGUGAAGAUGCGGACUACCUGCACCAGGACAGAAAGACCCUAUGAAGCUUUACUGUAACUUGAAAUUGGAAUUGGACUUUGCUUGCGCAGUAUAGGUGGGAAGCGUUGAAAAUAUCCUUGCGGGAGUAUUGGAGCUAUCAGUGAGAUACCACUCUUGUAAUGUUAGAUUUCUAACUUUGAACCAUAAUCUGGUCAAAGAACAGUUUCAGGUGGGCAGUUUGACUGGGGCGGUCGCCUCCCAAAUGGUAACGGAGGCGUACAAAGGUUUCCUCUGAACGGAUAGAAAUCGUAUCUAGAGUGUAAAGGCAUAAGGAAGCUUGACUGUGAGACCUACAAGUCGAGCAGGGACGAAAGUCGGUCUUAGUGAUCUGACGGUACUGAGUGGAAAGGCCGUCACUCAACGGAUAAAAGUUACUCUAAGGAUAACAGGCUGAUCUCCCCCAAGAGUUCACAUCGACGGGGAGGUUUGGCACCUCGAUGUCGGCUCAUCGCAUCCUGGGGCGGUAGUACGUCCCAAGGGUUGGGCUGUUCGCCCAUGAAAGCGGUACGCGAGCUGGGUUCAGAACGUCGUGAGACUGUUCGGUCCAUAUCCGGUGUAGGCGCUAGAAUAUUGAGAGGAGCCUUCUUUAGUACGAGAGGACCGAGAAGGACACACCGCUGGUGUACCAGUUAUCGUGCCAACGGUAAACGCUGGGUAGCUAUGUGUGGAGUGGAUAACCGCUGAAAGCAUCUAAGUGGGAAGCCCACCUCGAGAUGAGUA
Molecule: ribosomal RNA, 1239 nt
Filed under: metagenome
Description: bacterial LSU rRNA
Rfam family: Bacterial large subunit ribosomal RNA
Source: RNAcentral